Molecule: ribosomal RNA, 254 nt
Filed under: uncultured bacterium
Lineage: Bacteria
Description: partial 16S ribosomal RNA
Rfam family: Bacterial small subunit ribosomal RNA
Source: RNAcentral
UACGAAGGGGGCUAGCGUUGCUCGGAAUCACUGGGCGUAAAGCGCACGUAGGCGGGCUCUUAAGUCGGUGGUGAAAUCCUGGAGCUCAACUCCAGAACUGCCUCCGAUACUGAGAGUCUUCGAGUCCGGGAGAGGUGAGUGGAACUGCGAGUGUAGAGGUGAAAUUCGUAGAUAUUCGCAAGAACACCAGUGGCGAAGGCGGCUCACUGGCCCGGUACUGACGCUGAGGUGCGAAAGCAUGGGGAGCGAACAGG